RNAcentral lists this transfer RNA (73 nucleotides) under SAR116 cluster alpha proteobacterium HIMB100. RNAcentral also lists the same sequence under 1 other name. Lineage: Bacteria; Pseudomonadati; Pseudomonadota; Alphaproteobacteria; Puniceispirillales (SeqCode). The record is from RNAcentral.
GCUGGUGUGGCUCAAUUGGUAGAGCACCCGAUUUGUAAUCGGGCGGUUGGGAGUUCGAGUCUCUCCACCAGCA